AGGAAGUCUUUAGGCUGCCUGUCUGCUGAGGGGUGAGGCUGUGUUCCUGUUCUGUUGGCUGUUUGGCCUGAGGCGUCCCAGUUACAGGCUGUUGAGUGGGACAGGUCUCGGUGCCAGAGACCCAAAAUACCUGUCUCUGCCUCCAGCCAGAAUUGAUGCAGGUCUCUGCUUCCGCCACCAGCUUUUAUGACCCCAGAGAGAGCCACAGUCGCCCCCGCCCCCUCGCCUCUCCAGGAGACCCUCCAAGACCAGCAGGCAAUGUGAUAAAACUGAAAGAAAUUCAACAACCUGGGGUAAACAACAUUUGGUAUCUGGAUCCCAACUCAGAGGCAGGCCUGCCCAGCUCGCAGCUUUGCUCUUGAGGUCGCAUGAUCCGAGUGAAACUGCAUCAGCUUGGGACUCUAACAGGUGAGUUAUUUGAAUUCCACUGGACGUUAAAAGAAACCCUCAUAAAUAAUAUUAUCCCUCGAUCUCUCUAGCCCACUCUCACACGCUGCUCCCCUCUCUCCCUCCUCUAUCUCUAUCUCAUUCUUGAAAGACAACAUGGGUUUAAUGGCACAUGUGCCCCAGAUACUUCCAACAUUGAUUGUUCAUGCUAUUAAUAUCAAGGUAACAUAGCUGGUGACAGCUUCUUUCAUUGAUUCAUAAUUCAUGUCCCUGUUAAACGGUAUCUGAUCCAAUGAGUUAUACAUAUUUCACUCUGAAUAUGCUAAUGUUGUCAGUUGAUAUCAAAAGAAAAACCACAACUUAGUUCUUUCUUUACUGAGGAAUUAAGGGAGAAAAUGCCUCUGUUGUGGGUGCGUAGGAAAUCCCAAGGCCUGGAAAAUACCUCUGACUCUGAAAGAUCAAAUCCUGUUCAAGCUGAAGUCAAACUGCCUCUUAGAGAUUCUGCCCAAGUCAAUGGUGGUUGUCCUAUGGCAACAUGGCAGUAUUUCUUAUGUACUAGCUUCACAGAGUUUCAAGAGAUAGCUUUCCUUUACAAAUAUAUUUCAGGAAGUGGUUGUAUUUUUUAAAGCAAUUUUAAAAACUCUGUUUAAGUGAAUAGGUUCAUCAAUCAGAAAGCCCAAAGGAAGGUGGCGAACAAAAGGGCAAAGUUUUUUUUCAUUGUUAUUAAAGCAGAGAAAUAAUAUCUGAGGCCUGAGGCUCAAUUUGUGAAGAGCAUGAACCACGGGACUCCUGUUCAAGGUAGGCAGCUGCUGAGACACUUCAAAAGAUCAUCUUUAUUGCAGAACAAUUGCCUGACCCAGUUUCCUGGUCAGCAACAUGCUUUUGUAGAAACUUCAGGAACUGAUGAAAAAGCUCAGCCAAGUUAGCAUGUGUACUUUCAUCUGGGGCUAUCGGGAGGAGAAAUAUGGAAAGGUUUCCAGGUCCCUUGGAUUUAACACUUGCAGGUGUAGUGACACAGAAGCAAAGAAUAAAACAAAAGAUAUGAGCAUGUUUUAAAAGGCAGUAUCUGACUUCUUGGCAAAUGUGCUUGAUAUUAGGAUUUGUAGAACAGAGAGGUCUUUCUGUAUUCAUAGUCUUUUGCCUAUCAAAAUAUUUUGAUAUCAUAAUAAAAUCCUACUGUAAAGUACACUUGGACCAUUGACUAAGGAUUCACUGCCUUGAUAUAGAAAGAUAUUCUUCCGCCCA
Non-coding RNA from Delphinapterus leucas (beluga whale), 1632 nucleotides. NCBI's taxonomy places the organism in Eukaryota, Metazoa, Chordata, Mammalia, Artiodactyla, Monodontidae. The record is from RefSeq and is a predicted model, not a curated record.